AGGGGCAGCAUGGUCUUAGCUUGCUAAGGCCGAUGGCGACCGGCGCACGGGUGAGUAACACGUAUCCAACCUGCCGUCUACUCUUGGACAGCCUUCUGAAAGGAAGAUUAAUACAAGAUGGCAUCAUGAGUCCGCAUGUUCACAUGAUUAAAGGUAUUCCGGUAGACGAUGGGGAUGCGUUCCAUUAGAUAGUAGGCGGGGUAACGGCCCACCUAGUCUUCGAUGGAUAGGGGUUCUGAGAGGAAGGUCCCCCACAUUGGAACUGAGACACGGUCCAAACUCCUACGGGAGGCAGCAGUGAGGAAUAUUGGUCAAUGGGCGAGAGCCUGAACCAGCCAAGUAGCGUGAAGGAUGACUGCCCUAUGGGUUGUAAACUUCUUUUAUAAAGGAAUAAAGUCGGGUAUGUAUACCCGUUUGCAUGUACUUUAUGAAUAAGGAUCGGCUAACUCCGUGCCAGCAGCCGCGGUAAUACGGAGGAUCCGAGCGUUAUCCGGAUUUAUUGGGUUUAAAGGGAGCGUAGAUGGAUGUUUAAGUCAGUUGUGAAAGUUUGCGGCUCAACCGUAAAAUUGCAGUUGAUACUGGAUAUCUUGAGUGCAGUUGAGGCAGGCGGAAUUCGUGGUGUAGCGGUGAAAUGCUUAGAUAU
This 643-nucleotide ribosomal RNA is filed under the name uncultured Bacteroidales bacterium. RNAcentral describes it as "bacterial SSU rRNA". It matches the Rfam family "Bacterial small subunit ribosomal RNA", at positions 65 to 697 of the family's 1533-position model. Lineage: Bacteria; Pseudomonadati; Bacteroidota; Bacteroidia; Bacteroidales. The record is from RNAcentral.